This 491-nucleotide ribosomal RNA is filed under the name uncultured bacterium. RNAcentral describes it as "partial 16S ribosomal RNA". It matches the Rfam family "Bacterial small subunit ribosomal RNA", at positions 29 to 506 of the family's 1533-position model. The record is from RNAcentral.
AGUGAACGCUGGCGGUAGGCCUAACACAUGCAAGUCGAACGGCAGCACAGUAAGAGCUUGCUCUUACGGGUGGCGAGUGGCGGACGGGUGAGGAAUACAUCGGAAUCUACUUUUUCGUGGGGGAUAACGUAGGGAAACUUACGCUAAUACCGCAUACGACCUACGGGUGAAAGCAGGGGAUCUUCGGACCUUGCGCGAUUGAAUGAGCCGAUGUCGGAUUAGCUAGUUGGCGGGGUAAAGGCCCACCAAGGCGACGAUCCGUAGCUGGUCUGAGAGGAUGAUCGGCCAACAUGGAACUAGGAAACGGCCCAACACCCAAGGGGAGGAAGAGGGGGGGAAUAUGGGAAAAGGGGCGAAAGCCUGUCCCAGCCAAACCGCGGGGGGGAAAAAGGCCUUCGGGUUGUAAACCCCUUUUUUUGGGAAAGAAAAGCAGCAGGUUAAAACCCCGCUGUUUUGACGGGACCAAAAGAAUAAGCACCGGCUAACUUCGU